Molecule: ribosomal RNA, 726 nt
Filed under: uncultured Alphaproteobacteria bacterium
Lineage: Bacteria; Pseudomonadati; Pseudomonadota; Alphaproteobacteria
Description: bacterial SSU rRNA
Rfam family: Bacterial small subunit ribosomal RNA
Source: RNAcentral
AGCGCUGGCGGCGCCUACACAUGCAGUCUGAACGAAGUGACGUACUUAGUGGCAGACGGGUGAGUAACAUGUAAGUAUCUACCCUUUGGCCGUGUAAUACACGAGGAAAGUUGUGCUAAUACCGGAUAAGUCUUUACGGAGAAAGCUUUAUGCACCAUUGGAUGAGCCUGCACUUGAUUAGUUUGUCGGGGGGGUAAUGGCCUACCGAGACUGUGAUCGAUAGCUGAUUUGAGAGGAUGAUCAGCCACGAUUGUGACUGAGACACGGCCCAAACUCCUACGGGAGGCAGCAGUGGGGAAUCUUGCACAAUGGAGGAAACUCUGAUGCAGCGAUGCCGCGUGAGUGAAGAAGGCCCUUGGGUUGUAAAGCUCUUUCGUCGGGGAAGAAAAUGACUGUACCCGAAUAAGAAGGUCCGGCUAACUUCGUGCCGGCAGCCGCGGUAAUACGAAGGGACCUAGCGUAGUUCGGAAUUACUGGGCUUAAAGAGUUCGUAGGUGGUUGAAAAAGUUGGUGGUGAAAUCCCAGAGCUUAACCCUGGAACUGCCAUCAAAACUUUUCAGCUAGAGUAUGAUAGAGGAAAGCAGAAUUUCUAGUGUAGAGGUGAAAUUCGUAGAUAUUAGAAAGAAUACCAAUCGCGAAGGCCGCUUUCUGGAUCAUUACUGACACUGAGGAACGAAAGCAUGUGUUGCGAAGAGGAUUAGAUACCCUCGAUAGUCCAUGCCGUAA